UGUGGAACAGAAGCCGAUGAAUCCUGCAGUAGGUGAAGAUUCUCAAACAAUUAGUUCUUGCACCUGCAAGUUAUUCUGUUACACAUCUCCCAUGUGUCUGAAAUAUUUCAAGUUUGUUUCCAGGUGUCAUCAGUAAGUGAUUCAUGUAUAUAUAAUUCCAUUGACAACCUUAGAAUCACUGCAACUCAGAGGUAUGUCCUUACCAUUCUUUCCUCUAUUUUUUUGG
This 226-nucleotide unclassified non-coding RNA is filed under the name Hevea brasiliensis (rubber tree). The record is from RNAcentral. Lineage: Eukaryota; Viridiplantae; Streptophyta; Magnoliopsida; Malpighiales; Euphorbiaceae.